RNAcentral lists this ribosomal RNA (696 nucleotides) under uncultured bacterium. RNAcentral's name for it is "bacterial SSU rRNA". It matches the Rfam family "Bacterial small subunit ribosomal RNA", at positions 62 to 805 of the family's 1533-position model. The record is from RNAcentral.
UCGAACGGUCUCUUCGGAGAUAGUGGCGGACGGGUGAGUAACGCGUGAGAAUCUACCUUUAGGUUCGGGACAACAGUUGGAAACGGCUGCUAAUACCGAAUGUGUCGCAAGAUGAAAGAUUAAUUGCCUGAAGAUGAGCUCGCGUCUGAUUAGCUAGUUGGUGGGGUAAGAGCCUACCAAGGCGACGAUCAGUAGCUGGUCUGAGAGGAUGAUCAGCCACACUGGGACUGAGACACGGCCCAGACUCCUACGGGAGGCAGCAGUGGGGAAUUUUCCGCAAUGGGCGAAAGCCUGACGGAGCAACGCCGCGUGAGGGAGGAAGGCUCUUGGGUUGUAAACCUCUUUUCUCAAGGAAGAUAAUGACGGUACUUGAGGAAUCAGCAUCGGCUAACUCCGUGCCAGCAGCCGCGGUAAUACGGAGGAUGCAAGCGUUAUCCGGAAUAAUUGGGCGUAAAGCGUUCGUAGGUGGUGAUGUAAGUCUGCUGUUAAAGCGUGUAGCUUAACUACAUAUAGGCGGUGGAAACUACAUGACUAGAGUGCGUUCGGGGCAGAGGGAAUUCCUGGUGUAGCGGUGAAAUGCGUAGAUAUCAGGAAGAACACCGGUGGCGAAGGCGCUCUGCUAGGCCGUAACUGACACUGAGGGACGAAAGCUAGGGGAGCGAAUGGGAUUAGAUACCCCAGUAGUCCUAGCUGUAA